CAGGAAAGCCACCUGAUGAAGAUGGGAGGGGUGUUGGAGGAGAAUGAGCGGCUCAUCUAGGUCUACUCCCCAGAACCAGGACAGUGGCCCAGAUUGGAUUUGCCUGAAGACCCCUCGGGGAGAAAAAAGCAAGCAAGUGGAACUCUCGGAUCUGAACAACCCCCCUUAAAGAAGACAGCGCGAUUCCAUGCAUUACUUUUCCCAGGAGUAUGUGCACG
This 218-nucleotide long non-coding RNA is filed under the name Homo sapiens (human). RNAcentral describes it as "HSALNT0133888". Lineage: Eukaryota; Metazoa; Chordata; Mammalia; Primates; Hominidae. The record is from RNAcentral.